Molecule: long non-coding RNA, 1255 nt
Organism: Gopherus agassizii (Agassiz's desert tortoise)
Lineage: Eukaryota; Metazoa; Chordata; Testudines; Testudinidae
Source: Ensembl
CUGCUCAGUAGAUUAAUAACAGUCAGUAGUUAUGUAUUUCUUUGUUUCAUCUUCAUAUAUGCAUGUUUCUGCUUUACAACUUUAUUUUCUGAUUUCAUUGUUUCAUCUGUCCUUUCCAUGCCUUUCCCUAAAUGGAAAUAGAAAUGCAACAGUCUCCCAACCAGACAUCAAGAACAAGAGAUUCAGGGAAAGUUAUAGAUGACCUGUCCCAAGGAGAUUCACUAAGGUAAGAUUUAAAAAAAAAUAACAUAUUUUAGCAAAUCAGAGAGAGAGAGAGAGCAUGACUUAUUAUUGUCUUAUGUUUUUGUUAUUUAAGAAGUUCUGAAAAAGAUGAAGGGGAUGACAGCUGGCUUACAUCAGAGGAAGAAGAACUAGAUUUUACCCCCAAGAAACCACAGAAGCCAAGUUUGACUCUGCUAAUGAACUCUUCCCAUCAAUUCAAGAAAAACAGUAAGCAAUGGUGGGGAGGGGGGGAAUCUCCUUUACUACAUUAUAUGUUGAUAUGAAAUUGUAGAUUUAUUAUGUAUUUUACUUCCUCUUUUAAGUAUAUUUGAUCUUUGUGUUUUUACUAUAGUAGGUGAGAAAAGUAGCAUUAUGAGAACAGAACAUAUAGCCAUUUCACAGCAAAAUAAAUCAGAUUGUGAAGCUGAAGAUGUCAUUGAAACCCCUCCUAAGCCUUUUUCCCAAGUCAAGUCCUACCCUCGACCUCUCCAUCCCUCACCUGGCUCCUGUUCAAAACCUUCCCAGAUGACUCCUCCUCUCCUGGGGUUUAAACAGGAAGAAUCAUCAGAGGAGGAAGAUGACAUAAAGCAACCACAAAUUUCAAAUGUUAUAGAUAAAAGUUUGAUUUGUAAUGGAAACCGUGAAGCACAGAAUCCCUCAGAAGAUACUGCUAUUAGGAAAGAUACAAUGUCAGUAUUAGGAUUGGACGAGGAGGAGGAUACAGAAUCACCCUGGGAUUCAGAGUGUGCUUCUGAAAGUCCAAGAAAACUACCAGUCAACCUAUUAAUUUCAUCUGCUGUCAGAACUGACACACACAUGCAGAGUAUUUUUGAGGAACCAAAUGAAGGUUUUUGUGAAAAAACUCUUGAGUCACAGCCAAAGACCACUCAAGCAAUUUUAGAAACAAAUGACACCUCUUCUUGUCCUGCAAAGGGAAUCGAGACUGGCAAAAGGCAAAAAUCAGGUAAUAUUCACUACAUCAAAUUUUGGUGAGGGACUGGGCAUCUUCAUUAACAAAUAUUUAUCUUAAACA